CUCACUGUUGUGGCCUCUCCCGUUGCGGAGUACAGGCUCCAGACGCGCAGGCUCAGCAGCCAUGGCUCACGGGCCUAGCCGCUCCGCGGCAUGUGGGAUCUUCCCGGACCGGGGCUUGAACCCGUGACCCCUGCAUCGGCAGGCGGACCCUCAACCUCUGCGCCACCAGGGAAGCCCCACAGAAGCAAAUGUAAAUCAGCAUUUUCAGGGCACAUGGAGAAAAGAAGGAACACCAGCUCACCUCCAACAGACAUGCCAAGUAGAGGACUUCCGUAACAGUGAAAGGCAGGGGCCAAGGCUCAGAGCCUUUGCACAAGAAACGGCCCAGGAGCCCAAAUGGACUAAGAAGACACCAGGUUCCAACUUGUUUGGGGAAGCCCCCAGUUGACAAGAAGUGUGGUUCCGUAGUUAUUGUCACAAACCAUCCCAAAGCUGAUCUUCUCCAUCCUGGAUGUUGCACUGGGACCCUCACCCUCGCCAGAUCUCAGUCCCAGCAGUGAGAGAAACUCCAGUCCCUGCGAAGAUCUGUGGUUAGAUGACUGAACCCGCUCUCGCCCAUGACGCAGGUGACUUGCAGGGUUAGUUGGUGACCCACAGAGCCACACACACAGCUGGCUCAGGAUUUGGAGAAGCAGAUGGAGAAGACUGGGCUGGAGCAAGAGGGACAAUGGACUCACAGCUGCCACACACC
Molecule: long non-coding RNA, 691 nt
Organism: Globicephala melas (long-finned pilot whale)
Lineage: Eukaryota; Metazoa; Chordata; Mammalia; Artiodactyla; Delphinidae
Source: RefSeq, a predicted model, not a curated record